AACGCACCUUGCGCUCUCUGGUAUUCCGGAGAGCAUGCCUGUUUGAGUGUCAUGAACUCUUCAACCCACCGGUUUCUUGUGAACUGCUGUGGUGUUUGGAUUUUGAAUGUUGCUAUGUACUUAGCUCGUUCGUAAUGCAUUAGCAUCUCAAUUUCGUAAUCGGAUUGACUCAGCGUAAUAGACUAUUCGCUGAGGACACUCUCAGAGUGGCCGAGACAUGAAGAGUUAGAAGCUUCCAGCCCAUCUAGUCAUUUUUAAGAUUAGACCUCAGAUCAGGCAGGAUUACCCGCUGAACUUAA
This 299-nucleotide unclassified non-coding RNA is filed under the name uncultured fungus. Its description in RNAcentral is "partial contains 5.8S ribosomal RNA, internal transcribed spacer 2, and large subunit ribosomal RNA". The stretch from base 1 to 52 matches the Rfam family "5.8S ribosomal RNA", at positions 103 to 154 of the family's 154-position model. Lineage: Eukaryota; Fungi. The record is from RNAcentral.